AACUUUGCACAAAUGUCAGAAGUGUGGGUAGGCACAAAUUAAGUGGCAGAGUCAAGAGAGGGGAUAGGGUAGUUUUGAUUUUCCUGUCUCAUCAUUAUCCGCUGUCUCUUGCUUCCCUGUUGCAGAUGUGGCACCUUAUAGCAUCCUGGUGCAGCCCUGAAGCUCCUGUCCUUGACCCCCACAUAGUAGGCAUUGACUUGCCAACCAGCUGUACCGAACACGGACGCAGCACCCGCAUCAGGAGAGAGCCCUUCAGCAGGUGAAUGAUAUGAAGUUGUCAUUCGUGCGAUAGAUCAGACAACGGAGAAAGCCUCCAGACAUAACCUCUGCUUGCUUCCGGCGAGGACGAAUAAAUCUUUCCUUCUUUUGGAAUCA
RNAcentral lists this long non-coding RNA (375 nucleotides) under Dromaius novaehollandiae (emu). RNAcentral's name for it is "lncRNA (ENSDNVG00000001078.1)". Lineage: Eukaryota; Metazoa; Chordata; Aves; Casuariiformes; Dromaiidae. The record is from RNAcentral.